Molecule: ribosomal RNA, 705 nt
Filed under: uncultured organism
Description: bacterial SSU rRNA
Rfam family: Bacterial small subunit ribosomal RNA
Source: RNAcentral
AAGUCGAACGGUAGAGAAGUGCUUGCACUUCUUGAGAGUGGCGAACGGGUGAGUAACACGUAGGUGAUCUACCGCAGGGGUUGGGGAUAGCCCAUGGAAACAUGGGGUAAUACCGAAUACGCUCAUUUGGCUGUGGCCGGAUGAGGAAAGGCGCUUCGGCGUCGCCCUGCGAUGAGCCUGCGCCCCAUUAGCUAGUUGGUAGGGUAAAGGCCUACCAAGGCGACGACGGGUAGCCGGCCUGAGAGGGUGAUCGGCCACACUGGGACUGAGAUACGGCCCAGACUCCUACGGGAGGCAGCAGCUAAGAAUCUUCCGCAAUGGACGAAAGUCUGACGGAGCGACGCCGCGUGGGUGAAGAAGGCCGGAAGGUUGUAAAGCCCUUUUCUCGUUGAGGAAUAAGCACAGGAGGGAAUGCCUGUGCGAUGACGGUAGGCGAGGAAUAAGUCCCGGCCAAUUACGUGCCAGCAGCCGCGGUAACACGUAUGGGACGAGCGUUGUUCGGAAUCAUUGGGCGUAAAGGGCGCGUAGGCGGCGAGGUAAGCCUGGUGUGAAAGACCGCAGCUUAACUGCGGAACCGCGCUAGGAACUGCUUUGCUUGAGUUCGGGAGGGGGAGCUGGAAUUCCAGGUGUAGGGGUGAAAUCUGUAGAUAUCUGGAAGAACACCGGCGGCGAAGGCGAGCUCCUGGCCAUGAACUGACGCUGAGG